RNAcentral lists this ribosomal RNA (452 nucleotides) under uncultured bacterium. RNAcentral's name for it is "bacterial SSU rRNA". It matches the Rfam family "Bacterial small subunit ribosomal RNA", at positions 30 to 474 of the family's 1533-position model. The record is from RNAcentral.
AUUGAACGCUGGCGGCAGGCCUAACACAUGCAAGUCGAGCGGUAGAGAGGUGCUUGCAUCUCUUGAGAGCGGCGGACGGGUGAGUAAUGCCUAGGAAUCUGCCUAGUGGUGGGGGAUAACGUUCGGAAACGGACGCUAAUACCGCAUACGUCCUACGGGAGAAAGCGGGGGAUCUUCGGACCUCGCGCCAUUAGAUGAGCCUAGGUCGGAUUAGCUAGUUGGUGAGGUAAUGGCUCACCAAGGCGACGAUCCGUAACUGGUCUGAGAGGAUGAUCAGUCACACUGGAACUGAGAACACGGUCCAGACUCCUACGGGAGGCAGCAGUGGGGAAUAUUGGACAAUGGGCGAAAGCCUGAUCCAGCCAUGCCGCGUGUGUGAGAAGGUCUUCGGAUUGUAAAGCACUUUAAGUUGGGUAGGAAGGGUAGUAACCUAAUACGUUGCUACUUUGACG